Molecule: transfer RNA, 76 nt
Filed under: Clostridia bacterium
Lineage: Bacteria; Bacillati; Bacillota; Clostridia
Description: tRNA-Ala
Rfam family: tRNA
About the family: Transfer RNA (tRNA) molecules are approximately 80 nucleotides in length. Their secondary structure includes four short double-helical elements and three loops (D, anti-codon, and T loops). Further hydrogen bonds mediate the characteristic L-shaped molecular structure. tRNAs have two regions of fundamental functional importance: the anti-codon, which is responsible for specific mRNA codon recognition, and the 3' end, to which the tRNAs corresponding amino acid is attached (by aminoacyl-tRNA synthetases). tRNAs cope with the degeneracy of the genetic code in two manners: having more than one tRNA (with a specific anti-codon) for a particular amino acid; and 'wobble' base-pairing, i.e. permitting non-standard base-pairing at the 3rd anti-codon position.
Source: RNAcentral
GGGCGUGUAGCUCAGUUGGGAGAGCACCACAAUGGCAUUGUGGGGGCCAGGGGUUCAAGUCCCCUCACGUCCACCA